GAUGAACGCUGGCGGCGUGCCUAAUACACGCAAGUCGAGCGAACAGACGAGGAGCUUGCUCCUCUGACGUUAGCGGCGGACGGGUGAGUAACACGUGGAUAACCUACCUAUAAGACUGGGAUAACUUCGGGAAACCGGAGCUACUACCGGAUAAUAUAUUGAACCGCAUGGUUCAAUAGUGAAAGACGGUUUUGCUGUCACUUAUAGAUGUAUCCGCGCCGCAUUAGCUAGUUGGUAAGGUAACGGCUUACCAAGGCAACGAUGCGUAGCCGACCUGAGAGGGUGAUCGGCCACACUGGAACUGAGACACGGUCCAGACUCCUACGGGAGGCAGCAGUAGGGAAUCUUCCGCAAUGGGCGAAAGCCUGACGGAGCAACGCCGCGUGAGUGAUGAAGGUCUUCGGAUCGUAAAACUCUGUUAUUAGGGAAGAACAAAUGUGUAAGUAACUAUGCACGUCUUGACGGUACCUAAUCAGAAAGCCACGGCUAACUACGUG
This 497-nucleotide ribosomal RNA is filed under the name uncultured bacterium. RNAcentral describes it as "partial 16S ribosomal RNA". It matches the Rfam family "Bacterial small subunit ribosomal RNA", at positions 28 to 507 of the family's 1533-position model. The record is from RNAcentral.